This 69-nucleotide transfer RNA is filed under the name Pararetifusus carinatus. Its description in RNAcentral is "tRNA-His". Lineage: Eukaryota; Metazoa; Mollusca; Gastropoda; Neogastropoda; Fasciolariidae. The record is from RNAcentral.
AAAAGUUAAGUUAGUUUAAAAAUAAAAUAUCAGCGUGUGGAUUUGAAGAUGAAAGCUAUUUCACUUGAC